RNAcentral lists this ribosomal RNA (423 nucleotides) under uncultured microorganism. RNAcentral describes it as "bacterial SSU rRNA". It matches the Rfam family "Bacterial small subunit ribosomal RNA", at positions 9 to 414 of the family's 1533-position model. The record is from RNAcentral.
GAGUUUGAUCAUGGCUCAGGACGAACGCUGGCGGCGUGCUUAACACAUGCAAGUCGAACGAGAAUCUACUGAAAGAGUUUUCGGACAAUGGAAGUAGAGGAAAGUGGCGGACGGGUGAGUAACGCGUGAGGAACCUGCCUUGAAGAGGGGGACAACAGUUGGAAACGACUGCUAAUACCGCAUGAUGCAUAAGGGUCGCAUGAUUCUUAUGCCAAAGAUUUUAUCGCUUCAAGAUGGCCUCGCGUCUGAUUAGCUAGUUGGCGGGGUAACGGCCCACCAAGGCGACGAUCAGUAGCCGGACUGAGAGGUUGAACGGCCACAUUGGGACUGAGAUACGGCCCAGACUCCUACGGAGGCGAGCAGUGGGGAAUAUUGGGCAAUGGGCGCAAGCCUGACCCAGCAACGCCGCGUGAAGGAGAAGGC